GCUGUAUUUCUAGCCCACUUCGCUUCGGAAGCGCAACGUCAUAAUUCACGUUCGAUGUUUAAACCCUGGAUACUAGGGUUUAUGAUUUUUGGUUAGGGUUUUGGUGUUUUAGCUACAAGAACAUCAAUGGAGGGAUUGAAGGUAUCGGAUGCGGAAUUGGUGGUGUAUUUACACCCAUCGAAGUCAAACAACGCCUCUCAAGCCAUUUUUGGUGAACUCGGUUCAAUGCUUUUCAAGUUCAAUGAGACAUUUGAUGGUGUUUUGCUGGCUUACAGUGCUUCUACCAAAAAUAAGUUGGCAAAGAUUCUUCCAGGCCUAAAUCCUUACUUCGGUGUGAGACUACAAGCACGAUUAUUACUUUUCUAUCCAAAACCAGACAUGCUUUUAGAAGGAAAGGUAGUUAAACUUGGUGAGCAGACUAUACACAUUAUUGUUCUUGGUUUUUCUUCCGCAACCAUUACAGAAGAAGACAUUCGUGAAGAAUUCAGUUACAAAGUUAAACAUAGAAAGGAAGUUUAUGCUAGCACCAUCGAUAAGCACCAUAAGAUAGAGAUUGGAACCGUUAUACGUUUUGUAGUCAAGAGUUUUGAUGAGGAAACACUCCAUAUAUCGGGAUCAUUGGUUCCACCUCACACAGGAAGCGUCAGCUGGUUGGAUAAACCUGCAGAAGAGGCGAGUCAUACCAAGAAGAGGAAAGGAUAUGAAAUGGAGACCGAUGAUUCAUUAUCUUUGAAAGCCGAUAACCGGAUGAAGAAGUCAAAGAAAAGCAGCAGUGACAGCCUGUCAGUACCCAAUUUACAUACUCAUUAAAAUUGUUGUUAUUUGAGUACUCGGAAACAGCCUCUCUACCUUUUGGAAUAGAGGCAAGAAGAUGACUUACUGAACUCAUGUUACGAAACAGCUGUCAAUUGGGUCAAACGUUGUCCGAGGAACAUACUAAGGGUAGAUCACAUUUGCUUGCACCCUCUUUAGAAACCCCAUUUGCUGCUAUAGCACCAUUAAUGUUAAGUUGAUAAAUCGGUUUUCGUAUUAUUGUAGUCAGCCUGAAUCUGGUGGAUGGACCUAUUUGUUUGACGCGUAAUGUUGUAAUAUUUUCAAUAUUUUCUAGUAACUAAAACUACACAAUUUUGAUGGAAAAGUAAUUUUACGCGAAAUUAUAGAUACGAUGACAAG
Molecule: RNA transcript, 1173 nt
Organism: Cynara cardunculus var. scolymus (artichoke)
Lineage: Eukaryota; Viridiplantae; Streptophyta; Magnoliopsida; Asterales; Asteraceae
Exons: 7
Source: RefSeq, a predicted model, not a curated record